GACGAACGCUGGCGGCGUGCUUAACACAUGCAAGUCGAACGGUGAAGCGCCUUCCUUUUUGGCGGGAGUGGAAGAGUAGUUCACGCGUGAGUAACACGUGAGACACCUGCACCCUCUUUCCCGAUAACCGCAUGAACGCGUGGCUAAUACGGGUAAUUCUGCGUCUGUCGCAUGACUGGCCUGGGAAAGAUAUUGAUUCGGCGGUGCAUUGGCUCGCGGCUUCUCAGCUGGUUGGCGGGGUGGUGGCCUACCAAGGCGGUGACGGGUCGCCGGCGUGAGAGUGUGGACGGUCACACUGGGACUGAGACGCGGCCCAGACGCCUAGGGACGGCAGCAGUGGGGAAGAUUGCACGAUGGGGGGAAGACUGAUGCAGCGGCGCCGCGGGAGGGAUGGAGGCCUUCGGGUUGUGAAACGCUUUCGCCAGUGAAGCAGGCCUGCCUCGUGUGUGGAUGGGUUGACGGUAGCUGGAUAAGAAGCGCCGGCUAACUACGUG
Molecule: ribosomal RNA, 494 nt
Filed under: uncultured bacterium
Lineage: Bacteria
Description: partial 16S ribosomal RNA
Rfam family: Bacterial small subunit ribosomal RNA
Source: RNAcentral